This 166-nucleotide ribosomal RNA is filed under the name uncultured bacterium. Its description in RNAcentral is "partial 16S rRNA". It matches the Rfam family "Bacterial small subunit ribosomal RNA", at positions 355 to 511 of the family's 1533-position model. The record is from RNAcentral.
UAGGGAAUCUUCGGCAAUGGGGGCGAACCCUGACCGAGCAACGCCGCGUGAGUGAAGAAGGUUUUCGGAUCGUAAAGCUCUGUUGUAAGAGAAGAACGUGUGUGAGAGUGGAAAGUUCACACAGUGACGGUAACUUACCAGAAAGGGACGGCUAACUACGUGCCUG